CUACGGGAUGCACCAGUGAGGAAUUUUGCGCAAUGGGCGAAAGCCUGACGCAGCAACGCCGCGUAAGUGAUGAAGGCCUUCGGGUCGUAAAGCUCUGUCAAGUGGGAAGAACCUAUGCAGUGUUAAUAUCACUGUAUACUGACGGUACCACUGAAGGACGCACCGGCUAACUCCGUGCCAGCAGCCGCGGUAAUACGGGGGGUGCAAGCGUUAUUCGGAAUCAUUGGGCGUAAAGGGCACGUAGGCGGCUUGGUAAGUCAGAUGUGAAAGCCCGGGGCUUAACCCCGGAAGUGCAUUUGAUACUGUCAGGCUUGAGUAUGGGAGAGGGAAGUGGAAUUCCUGGUGUAGAGGUGAAAUUCGUAGAUAUCAGGAGGAACACCGGUGGCGAAGGCGACUUCCUGGACCAAUACUGACGCUGAGGUGCGAAGGCGUGGGUAGCAAACAGGAUUAGAUACCCCGGUAGUC
Molecule: ribosomal RNA, 465 nt
Filed under: uncultured bacterium
Lineage: Bacteria
Description: partial 16S ribosomal RNA
Rfam family: Bacterial small subunit ribosomal RNA
Source: RNAcentral